RNAcentral lists this long non-coding RNA (518 nucleotides) under Pan troglodytes (chimpanzee). RNAcentral's name for it is "long non-coding RNA NONPTRT010086". Lineage: Eukaryota; Metazoa; Chordata; Mammalia; Primates; Hominidae. The record is from RNAcentral.
GGGAAAUUGGACUACUACUCUGCAAUAGAGGUUGUCCAGAUCAGCUCGUCCGACAGUUUCAUGUGAUCACAGUUAUCCACAGCCCCUCAUGAAGGCACAUUCUGUCCAGACGGGAAGAAACCAUUGGCCUACCAGCUUAAAAUGCCAGCAGAGUUCAGUGCAUACCUCCUUGGACAGAUACAUCUGCCCUGCACACUCAGUUGGCAGCCCUGACUCAGGCACCAUCCCCUGCAUGCAACAUGUUCACCUUGGGUACACGUGGCACUGCUCACUGUUGCUGGGGCCUGUGGAUGGAAGUCCCACCUUCCUGGUCAAUAUAAGAAGACUGGAGAGAGCUAAGAGUUGGUGGUGUUUGGGGGAGUGUGCAGCUCUCAUACAGAGGAAAGCCUUGUCUUCCCAUCCAAUGGGCAGGGGGGAAAGAGCCCUUUCUCUUCCUUAAAAUCAAAGGAGGGGACACCAAGUGACCCUUUCUUAAAAGUCCCAUUAUGCAUGUUUCCUGGAUCAAAAAAACAUUUGCC